Molecule: transfer RNA, 71 nt
Filed under: Stegodyphus mimosarum
Lineage: Eukaryota; Metazoa; Arthropoda; Arachnida; Araneae; Eresidae
Rfam family: tRNA
About the family: Transfer RNA (tRNA) molecules are approximately 80 nucleotides in length.
Source: Rfam by way of RNAcentral
GCCUUCGUGGUGUAGCGGUAGUACACUCGGCCCGUAUUCGAGAGGUACAGGAUCGAGUUCUGGUGAGGGCA